CAGUGUUAUAAAAGGUCUCGGAACACUUCGACGACACUUCGCACUUCAGCACCAUGAAGAACACAGCUGUCCUCGUCGCCCUGUCCAUCUUCUGUGUGGUCCUAGUGGCCAAUGCACAAAACAUUACUUCUAGAGUCGUAAGACAGGUUGCCAUGCCACCUCAAGCAUUCGCUGUGGCUGAUAUGACCAUGCCUGAUGAUAUGCCGAUGGGUGUAGCGGACGAGAUGGGUCCGAUGCAGACAGGUGCCUAGCUCUUGGAGCACUCAAUGGAAACAUUGUAACAAAUAUGAAAUAAAACUGAGUACAAUUGUAA
Molecule: long non-coding RNA, 313 nt
Organism: Macrosteles quadrilineatus (aster leafhopper)
Lineage: Eukaryota; Metazoa; Arthropoda; Insecta; Hemiptera; Cicadellidae
Exons: 3
Source: RefSeq, a predicted model, not a curated record